This 516-nucleotide ribosomal RNA is filed under the name uncultured bacterium. RNAcentral describes it as "bacterial SSU rRNA". It matches the Rfam family "Bacterial small subunit ribosomal RNA", at positions 28 to 526 of the family's 1533-position model. The record is from RNAcentral.
GACGAACGCUGGCGGCGUGCCUAAUACAUGCAAGUCGAGCGGACCAAAGGGAGCUUGCUCCUGGAGGUCAGCGGCGAACGGGUGAGUAACACGUGGGCAACCUGCCUGUAAGACUGGGAUAACAUCGAGAAAUCGGUGCUAAUACCGGAUAAUAAAAAGAACCGCAUGGUUCUUUUUUGAAAGAUGGUUUCGGCUAUCACUUACAGAUGGGCCCGCGGCGCAUUAGCUAGUUGGUGAGGUAACGGCUCACCAAGGCAACGAUGCGUAGCCGACCUGAGAGGGUGAUCGGCCACACUGGGACUGAGACACGGCCCAGACUCCUACGGGAGGCAGCAGUAGGGAAUCUUCCGCAAUGGACGAAAGUCUGACGGAGCAACGCCGCGUGAGUGAUGAAGGUUUUCGGAUCGUAAAACUCUGUUGUUAGGGAAGAACAAGUGCCGUUCGAAAGGGCGGCACCUUGACGGUACCUAACGAGAAAGCCACGGCUAACUACGUGCCAGCAGCCGCGGUAAAGUC